ACGCUGGCGGCGUGCCUAAUACAUGCAAGUCGAACGGUCUUUCUAUGGAAGCUUGCUUCCACUGAGAAGAUAGUGGCGAACGGGUGAGUAACACGUGGGUAACCUGCCCAUAAGAGGGGGAUAACAUCCGGAAACGGGUGCUAAUACCGCAUAGUUUUCUUGAUCGCAUGAUCGGGAAAGGAAAGACGGCCUUUGUGCUGUCGCUUAUGGAUGGACCCGCGGCGUAUUAGUUAGUUGGUGAGGUAACGGCUCACCAAGACGAUGAUACGUAGCCGACCUGAGAGGGUGAUCGGCCACAUUGGGACUGAGACACGGCCCAAACUCCUACGGGAGGCAGCAGUAGGGAAUCUUCCGCAAUGGACGAAAGUCUGACGGAGCAACGCCGCGUGAGUGAAGAAGGUUUUUCCGGAUCGUAAAACUCUGUUGUCAGAGAAGAACAAGUUGGAGAGUAACUGCUCCAGCCUUGACGGUAUCUGACCAGAAAGCCACGGCUAACUACGUGCCAGCAGCCGC
RNAcentral lists this ribosomal RNA (513 nucleotides) under uncultured bacterium. RNAcentral's name for it is "bacterial SSU rRNA". It matches the Rfam family "Bacterial small subunit ribosomal RNA", at positions 33 to 518 of the family's 1533-position model. The record is from RNAcentral.